CAAAAAGAUUUGAGAAUGAUUUCAAAAAUUUGUUGACGAAAGGAGGAAAAAGAAUAGGAAAUAUCGUGAUAUAAUGAUAAUAUUUGCUAGAAAAUUAGGUGUGACAUUCAAGUGGGUUUUAUGAAGAUUGAUGCUCAUUCUUUUAGGUAUUUGGCUUGAGUUGUUGUUAGGUACUCCAUGUUUUUCCCCUUUUCUUUAAAGAUAGAAAAUACUAUUCUUGAAUAGCCCUCGAUCUUCUAACAAUACAUCAUCUGAACCUUUAUAGUGAACAUUGUUUGACAAUAAAAUUAAAACUAUGGCAAUUUAUUCUCUCAUGUGUUUGAGGGCAGAAAGCAGAAUGCUACUAUAUGAUUCUUUUUUUUCCCACUCAAUUUCUGUAAUGCUUCACCACAAUGUAGCAGCCGUUGUUAGGUUGUAGCUUUUUAUGAAUUUAAGAUUUAAUUUUAAACUGUUUUUAUGAUCUCAAAUAGCUCUCUACAAGAGAGCCUUUUUGUCAAUUAAACUGACCGAAGAGUGAUGAAAUACCGUACAAAUUCUUGAAAGAAAGUGAUUUGGUAUGUUAUGUUUUGGUUCUGCGUCAAAACACGCAAGUCUACACGUUGUGUGUAACUGGCAGGUGCUCCUUUAAUCUGGAUGAAUUUUGUUUCAACUGUUUUCUUUUCUGCCCUGCAGUCUAUUGCUUAUAUUUAGUUGUAGUCUUGAAAGUUGCUUAGGUAAUCUGAUGAUACAAUAGUUUCUUCAUAUCUUAGUCACUUGAUUUAUCAGAAUACCUUACAUGUGGCUGAUUAAUGAUUGUGACAGUAAGAACAUCUCUAGAACCACCACAGUGGUUAAUGGUUAUAGCUGCCUGCUCGAGUCCUUUCCUCUCCUCCUUGAUCUCAUACAACUGGUGCUAUUUCUACGCUAAGGCUUGUGAUUGGUUUUACGUUACCACCACUGGCUCAUCAUAAAGCCCAACAUAUUAAUAGUCGGGUGUUCUUUUUUUUUUUUUUUUUGAGUCAAAAAUUGUGGAGGCUUAAAAAAAAAGACUAAACACGUCAUGGAUGCAUCACCAGUAUAAAAUGCCACACUAGCAUCUAAUAGUAUGAUGCUGCCAUGGAUGUAAAGAAUGACGAGUGGAAUUUUGUUUCAAAAUGCAUGUAAAGUGUAUCUAGAAUUAGCAUGCGAUGUUGCAUAGAUGUUAACUUUGAUUAACUUAGAUGUAGCAAUUUUUAUUAUAUGAACAUGAAUUAUUAUAUUCGCAUGUCAAUGUCAGUUUCAA
This is a long non-coding RNA of Lycium ferocissimum, 1261 nucleotides long. RefSeq lists it as uncharacterized. NCBI's taxonomy places the organism in Eukaryota, Viridiplantae, Streptophyta, Magnoliopsida, Solanales, Solanaceae. The record is from RefSeq and is a predicted model, not a curated record. The transcript has 2 exons.